GAUUCUCGCCGUCGCCGGCCGCCACCAACCGGCGAAUCCCCCCUCUCGCCGCGGCGGCGGAGGGGCUAGCGAUGACCACCGCUCCUCACGGGCUCAUCGGUAGCCGGCGGGCCGUGGGAGGGGAGGCUUCUACCGCCGUGGAAGAAACUCCGGCCGCCGCCUUCUGCCGCCGGUCACCUGCGGAAUCUGAAUGCUUGAGGUUGAUGAACCAAAUGGCAUGUGCAUUGCUUCGAUGAAGGAGGCCACUGUUGUAAUUGGACUAGAGUCACACGCCCACUGUAAGACCAGACCUUGUGUUUUUUUUUUUAAUUUUCUGUUUCCUUCUCCUUGCCAAACAUGAAUCCCAACAGGACUAGACAGACUAACAGAGGACCAAAUAACUUCAAUCGAAAUAUCAAAUGCAUAUCCAUAUUUGUUGGGGA
RNAcentral lists this long non-coding RNA (422 nucleotides) under Oryza sativa Indica Group (long-grained rice). RNAcentral describes it as "lncRNA OsLaMu_11g0021980". Lineage: Eukaryota; Viridiplantae; Streptophyta; Magnoliopsida; Poales; Poaceae. The record is from RNAcentral.